Molecule: small nuclear RNA, 104 nt
Organism: Myotis lucifugus (little brown bat)
Lineage: Eukaryota; Metazoa; Chordata; Mammalia; Chiroptera; Vespertilionidae
Source: Ensembl
GUGCUCCCUUCAGCAGCACAUUUACCAAAAUUGGAACAACACAGAGUUGAGCAUGACCCCUGUGCAAGGAUGACAUGCAAAUUCGUGAAGCGUUCCAUGAUUUU